CAGUCGAGCGGUAGAGAGAAGCUUGCUUCUCUUGAGAGCGGCGGACGGGUGAGUAAUACCUAGGAAUCUGCCUGAUAGUGGGGGAUAACGUUCGGAAACGGACGCUAAUACCGCAUACGUCCUACGGGAGAAAGCAGGGGACCUUCGGGCCUUGCGCUAUCAGAUGAGCCUAGGUCGGAUUAGCUAGUUGGUGAGGUAAUGGCUCACCAAGGCUACGAUCCGUAACUGGUCUGAGAGGAUGAUCAGUCACACUGGAACUGAGACACGGUCCAGACUCCUACGGGAGGCAGCAGUGGGGAAUAUUGGACAAUGGGCGAAAGCCUGAUCCAGCCAUGCCGCGUGUGUGAAGAAGGUCUUCGGAUUGUAAAGCACUUUAAGUUGGGAGGAAGGGCAUUAACCUAAUACGUUAGUGUUUUGACGUUACCGACAGAAUAAGCACCGGCUAACUCUGUGCCAGCAGCCGCGGUAAUACAGAGGGUGCAAGCGUUAAUCGGAAUUACUGGGCGUAAAGCGCGCGUAGGUGGUUUGUUAAGUUGAAUGUGAAAUCCCCGGGCUCAACCUGGGAACUGCAUCCAAAACUGGCAAGCUAUAGUAUGG
Molecule: ribosomal RNA, 597 nt
Filed under: Pseudomonas sp. 26AGIII
Lineage: Bacteria; Pseudomonadati; Pseudomonadota; Gammaproteobacteria; Pseudomonadales; Pseudomonadaceae
Description: bacterial SSU rRNA
Rfam family: Bacterial small subunit ribosomal RNA
Source: RNAcentral